Mus pahari (shrew mouse) is the source of this 142-nucleotide small nucleolar RNA. RefSeq annotates it as small nucleolar RNA SNORA48. Lineage: Eukaryota; Metazoa; Chordata; Mammalia; Rodentia; Muridae. The record is from RefSeq and is a predicted model, not a curated record. The transcript has a single exon.
UGCCUCCCAGCAAUGGGCAAAGACACCUUGUUGGUGGUGUUGCUCCUAUAUAAUCAGGGGCAGAGCAAUUGGCAGACCUUUGUUCAUCCUAGCUUGAUGCCUGGCUUGGUGACUAAAGCUGUUUUAUGCUUGGGACAUAUUA